UGGCUCAGGACGAACGCUGGCGGCGUGCCUAAUACAUGCAAGUCGAGCGAGUCUGCCUUGAAGAUCGGAGUGCUUGCACUCUGUGAAACAAGAUACAGGCUAGCGGCGGACGGGUGAGUAACACGUGGGUAACCUGCCCAAGAGAUCGGGAUAACACCUGGAAACAGAUGCUAAUACCGGAUAACAACAGAUGAUGCCUAUCAACUGUUUAAAAGAUGGUUCUGCUAUCACUCUUGGAUGGACCUGCGGUGCAUUAGCUAGUUGGUAGGGUAACGGCCUACCAAGGCGAUGAUGCAUAGCCGAGUUGAGAGACUGAUCGGCCACAUUGGGACUGAGACACGGCCCAAACUCCUACGGGAGGCAGCAGUAGGGAAUCUUCCACAAUGGACGCAAGUCUGAUGGAGCAACGCCGCGUGAGUGAAGAAGGGUUUCGGCUCGUAAAGCUCUGUUGUUGGUGAAGAAGGACAGGGGUAGUAACUGACCUUUGUUUGACGGUAAUCAAUUAGAAAGUCACGGCUAACUACGUGCCAGCAGCCGCGGUAAUACGUAGGUGGCAAGCGUUGUCCGGAUUUAUUGGGCGUAAAGCGAGUGCAGGCGGCUCGAUAAGUCUGAUGUGAAAGCCUUCGGCUCAACCGGAGAAUUGCAUCAGAAACUGUCGAGCUUGAGUGCAGAAGAGGAGAGUGGAACUCCAUGUGUAGCGGUGAAAUGCGUAGAUAUAUGGAAGAACACCGGUGGCGAAGGCGGCUCUCUGGUCUGUUACUGACGCUGAGGCUCGAAAGCAUGGGUAGCGAACAGGAUUAGAUACCCUGGUAGUCCAUGCNGUAAACGAUGAGUGCUAAGUGUUGGGAGGUUUCCGCCUCUCAGUGCUGCAGCUAACGCAUUAAGCACUCCGCCUGGGGAGUACGACCGCAAGGUUGAAACUCAAAGGAAUUGACGG
This 937-nucleotide ribosomal RNA is filed under the name Lactobacillus iners. Its description in RNAcentral is "bacterial SSU rRNA". It matches the Rfam family "Bacterial small subunit ribosomal RNA", at positions 20 to 916 of the family's 1533-position model. Lineage: Bacteria; Bacillati; Bacillota; Bacilli; Lactobacillales; Lactobacillaceae. The record is from RNAcentral.